UCUCCUACGGGAGGCAGCAGUGAGGAAUAUUGGUCAAUGGGCGAGAGCCUGAACCAGCCAAGUCGCGUGAGGGAAGACGGUCCUAUGGAUUGUAAACUUCUUUUGUCAAGGGACAAAAUCAGGCUCGAGAGCCUGACCGAGGGUACUUGAAGAAAAAGCAUCGGCUAACUCCGUGCCAGCAGCCGCGGUAAUACGGAGGAUGCGAGCGUUAUCCGGAUUUAUUGGGUUUAAAGGGUGCGUAGGCGGACUGUUAAGUCAGCGGUAAAAGCCCGGAGCUCAACCCCGGCGAGCCGUUGAAACUGGCU
RNAcentral lists this ribosomal RNA (305 nucleotides) under uncultured bacterium. RNAcentral's name for it is "bacterial SSU rRNA". It matches the Rfam family "Bacterial small subunit ribosomal RNA", at positions 335 to 638 of the family's 1533-position model. The record is from RNAcentral.